CAUGGCUCAGAUUGAACGCUGGCGGCAGGCCUAACACAUGCAAGUCGAGCGGUAACAGAAAGUAGCUUGCUACUUUGCUGACGAGCGGCGGACGGGUGAGUAAUGCUUGGGAACAUGCCUUGAGGUGGGGGACAACAGUUGGAAACGACUGCUAAUACCGCAUAACGUCUACGGACCAAAGGGGGCUUCGGCUCUCGCCUUUAGAUUGGCCCAAGUGGGAUUAGCUAGUUGGUGAGGUAAUGGCUCACCAAGGCGACGAUCCCUAGCUGGUUUGAGAGGAUGAUCAGCCACACUGGGACUGAGACACGGCCCAGACUCCUACGGGAGGCAGCAGUGGGGAAUAUUGCACAAUGGGCGCAAGCCUGAUGCAGCCAUGCCGCGUGUGUGAAGAAGGCCUUCGGGUUGUAAAGCACUUUCAGUCAGGAGGAAAGGUUAGUAGUUAAUACCUGCUAGCUGUGACGUUACUGACAGAAGAAGCACCGGCUAACUCCGUGCCAGCAGCCGCGGUAAUACGGAGGGUGCGAGCGUUAAUCGGAAUUACUGGGCGUAAAGCGUACGCAGGCGGUUUGUUAAGCGAGAUGUGAAAGCCCCGGGCUCAACCUGGGAACUGCAUUUCGAACUGGCAAACUAGAGUGUGAUAGAGGGUGGUAGAAUUUCAGGUGUAGCGGUGAAAUGCGUAGAGAUCUGAAGGAAUACCGAUGGCGAAGGCAGCCACCUGGGUCAACACUGACGCUCAUGUACGAAAGCGUGGGGAGCAAACGGGAUUAGAUACCCCGGUAGUCCACGCCGUAA
Molecule: ribosomal RNA, 792 nt
Filed under: uncultured Pseudoalteromonas sp.
Lineage: Bacteria; Pseudomonadati; Pseudomonadota; Gammaproteobacteria; Alteromonadales; Pseudoalteromonadaceae
Description: bacterial SSU rRNA
Rfam family: Bacterial small subunit ribosomal RNA
Source: RNAcentral